This 597-nucleotide long non-coding RNA is filed under the name Homo sapiens (human). RNAcentral describes it as "EOGT divergent transcript". The record is from RNAcentral. Lineage: Eukaryota; Metazoa; Chordata; Mammalia; Primates; Hominidae.
GGGACUGAACAUCGUUCACCGAAUACACUUUGUGAUGCUGGGCUUGAAAUCUACUGUUUUCCUGUCUUAAAAGAGAAUUCUGUGACUCCAUGGAAGACAUCUGAAUUUUGUUAGCAAGGAGUUCUUCUGUAGCUGCACGUUCUCUCUCAACUGCUGCUGCCAGCAAGAAAAACACAUACUUCUUGGAUUUGUGUUUUGGAAACCUGUGACAGUACCUGCUGAAGUUCACCGAUCUCAUGGCGUAAAUAAUCCUCCUUUCUGGCAGCCGCUUGUUCUGUACGCUGCAAUGCAAGCCUAAGGUCCCCCACCUGUAGGAGGAGAAACAAUACAUUCACAAACAAUGUUUUAGGUGAUGAAGUACCUGCUGCCAGAGUUUCCCCUGAAACACACAAAGAAGAGUCUUUUACUUGUGAUUCAGUUGUUUCAGGAGUUCUUGACUGGCCAAUGUGCAAGGAUUCAUGUAAGCUGCUUUUCACUUCUUCUUCUGGUCGUUGUGAUUUUGCUGGAGGUUUUGAUACCACUGGACUCUUCUGAAUGGUCUGGACAUCAGUUGGCGAGAGAAAGGCACUGAAGAAAUUUUCAGAUUCAUCGACCACA